GGUUAUGUUAUCACACAGACAACAAUAGUCAAAAAAUAUCACUUUCAAAACACUUUCACGUAUCACUUAAACAAAUAAUCACAAAAAUAGUUAAAUUUAGUAGUGUUCAAGGGUUUCGUCAUAAUAUCCGCAAUGUUCUCUUCACUUUGUACAUAGUUCACAGUUAUAAGUUUCUUGUUUACAAUGUCCUUCACAAAAUUAUAUUUAAUGUCAAUAUGCUUGCUUCUCUUUGUAUUUUCACUAUUGUUCAUCAUUUUAAUUGCACUUUGAUUGUCCACAAAGAUUUCUACACUGUUUAUAUUUUUAAAUUCACUAGCCAAUCCUUUUACAAAUAACACUUCACUAACACACAUUGCAGCUGAAAUAUACUCUGCUUCUGCAGAUGAUAGUGAAACAGUUGGCUGCUUCUUCGAUGCCCAUGAAAUCAGGUUGUUGUUAUGGUAAACUACCAUUCCACUUGUACUCUUUCUGUCAGAUUGGUCACCUCCCCAAUCGGCGUCUGAAUAACCUGUUAUGCUGUUGCUUUCUGACUUCGUAUAGGUACUGAAAAAUUGGUCUCCAUUGGUGUUUUCUUCGGUUUGCUGUCUUCCAUUCGAAAUUUUUGUAAUAUCUUGUUAAUAAAUUCUUUUUGUGAAAU
Pectinophora gossypiella (pink bollworm) is the source of this 637-nucleotide long non-coding RNA. RefSeq lists it as uncharacterized. Lineage: Eukaryota; Metazoa; Arthropoda; Insecta; Lepidoptera; Gelechiidae. The transcript has 2 exons. The record is from RefSeq and is a predicted model, not a curated record.